This 84-nucleotide transfer RNA is filed under the name Phycisphaerae bacterium. Its description in RNAcentral is "tRNA-Tyr". It matches the Rfam family "tRNA". From Rfam's summary of the family: Transfer RNA (tRNA) molecules are approximately 80 nucleotides in length. Their secondary structure includes four short double-helical elements and three loops (D, anti-codon, and T loops). Further hydrogen bonds mediate the characteristic L-shaped molecular structure. tRNAs have two regions of fundamental functional importance: the anti-codon, which is responsible for specific mRNA codon recognition, and the 3' end, to which the tRNAs corresponding amino acid is attached (by aminoacyl-tRNA synthetases). tRNAs cope with the degeneracy of the genetic code in two manners: having more than one tRNA (with a specific anti-codon) for a particular amino acid; and 'wobble' base-pairing, i.e. permitting non-standard base-pairing at the 3rd anti-codon position. RNAcentral also lists the same sequence under 1 other name. Lineage: Bacteria; Pseudomonadati; Planctomycetota; Phycisphaerae. The record is from RNAcentral.
GGGCGUGUGCCGGAGUGGCCAAACGGGGCAGACUGUAAAUCUGUUGGCGAAAGCCUACGGGGGUUCGAAUCCCUCCGCGCCCAC